This 212-nucleotide non-coding RNA is filed under the name unclassified sequences. The record is from Rfam.
CGGAAUCGGGUCUGUGGUUGCAAGUCGAUGCCAGUCGCAGGCAAAACGACCCACGUAAGCGGAAUAAAGUUUCCGUGAGCAUGGUGCGGCUUAGAGGUAAGACCAACCGGCGACUCGGUCGCCGAGAGGGGCAGUAGUGGGGAGCGCAGCCGCUUAUGAGCGAACCCUCCUGUUGGCGAGUGUGGGGACAAAGACCAGGUCAGCCGAUAUCG